GUACACUCCUACGGGAGGCAGCAGUGGGGAAUUUUGGACAAUGGGCGAAAGCCUGAUCCAGCCAUGCCGCGUGCAGGAUGAAGGCCUUCGGGUUGUAAACUGCUUUUGUACGGAACGAAACGGCCUUUUCUAAUAAAGAGGGCUAAUGACGGUACCGUAAGAAUAAGCACCGGCUAACUACGUGCCAGCAGCCGCGGUAAUACGUAGGGUGCAAGCGUUAAUCGGAAUUACUGGGCGUAAAGCGUGCGCAGGCGGUUAUGUAAGACAGUUGUGAAAUCCCCGGGCUCAACCUGGGAACUGCAUCUGUGACUGCAUAGCUAGAGUACGGUAGAGGGGGAUGGAAUUCCGCGUGUAGCAGUGAAAUGCGUAGAUAUGCGGAGGAACACCGAUGGCGAAGGCAAUCCCCUGGACCUGUACUGACGCUCAUGCACGAAAGCGUGGGGAGCAAACAGGAUUAGAAACCCGUGUAGUCCC
Molecule: ribosomal RNA, 474 nt
Filed under: uncultured organism
Description: partial 16S ribosomal RNA
Rfam family: Bacterial small subunit ribosomal RNA
Source: RNAcentral